AUAUCCACGUGAACGCUGUGAUACGUCUGACCUUCAGUCCGAAGAAGAAACCCAGACCAGUCUUAAAAGAAAGCACAAACCAAAUCCCCUGUACACAUAUACGGACUCAGAGGAUGAGCAGCCUACAAAAAAACGGUUUCCCCAGGCCCCUCGAGUGAAAAUACCAGCCCUCAUCACUCCGCAGUCUGCCCCCCAGCCCACUGAUAGCAACCAUCAUAAUGCCCCACCCAGCUUCCGGCACCUUUUGCCACUCCGGCACAAACCGACACAGCUUUGCGAUCUCGCCAGCAUGCAGAGUCUGAUGUCUUCCCUAUAGAUGGUAUGCUUUUAAAAAAGCUUUAAAGCUGCAUCACAAUGUCAUUGUACUCUUAUCUUCAAAACACCAGUUUAUAC
Pelmatolapia mariae (spotted tilapia) is the source of this 393-nucleotide long non-coding RNA. RefSeq lists it as uncharacterized. The transcript is spliced from 3 exons. The record is from RefSeq and is a predicted model, not a curated record. NCBI's taxonomy places the organism in Eukaryota, Metazoa, Chordata, Actinopteri, Cichliformes, Cichlidae.